This 811-nucleotide long non-coding RNA is filed under the name Scleropages formosus (Asian bonytongue). RNAcentral's name for it is "lncRNA (ENSSFOG00015024893.1)". Lineage: Eukaryota; Metazoa; Chordata; Actinopteri; Osteoglossiformes; Osteoglossidae. The record is from RNAcentral.
CCAAACACUUUCCUUUGGCUUGCUAAUCACACUUUUCAUUUUUUUCCCCCCUCUCUCUUCCUCCCCUAUUCUUUGUGUGCUUCAGAGUUGGUAUUUAAGCAACAGCAAAUCAAAGACUCCUUCCCUUUGCACAAAGAUGCCUCCUUCACUUGAAAAGAGUAAAGCACAAAUGAUGUAGCACAAUUUGUAUUUCUUUUUCCCCCCUUUUUUUCUCGGGGGUGGGGGGGGAUCGUCUUCACUUUAUUAAGGAAAAUCAAAAUAGCUGCCUUUUAAAAAGCAAAAGUGGAUGCACUGUCCGCACUUUUUCAGAUCGUCAUGAAAAAAGAAUAAUUAGCCCACGCGAAAAGAGGAGAAUCGGUGACGUACAGAUGAGCAACUUUACAAUGCUUUCAUACAGAGGGUAUUCGUGCUGUACGAAUACAGGAUACCAUCAGGAUGGAGCUGCUCUCAGUGGCCUCCUCACCAUUACCGAGUGCUGCGCUCCAGUUUAAAACAGGCCUCAGACCUGCCUGACCCUUCACAUCAUGUGCUGGUUUGCAAAGAAGUAGACCCUACACAGAGAGGUUGCAUCAGAGGAGAUUUGAUUUUGCUCGCCCUCCAUUCCUGCCCAGAGAAUGGGCUUGUCUUGGCGGCAGCCAACUCCGCACAGCAGCGCCGACACAGCUGUGUGACCGUGUUUGUCUCCCCACUGUAAACAGGUUGAUGGUGACUUAUAUUGUUCUCUGCUUGGAGACCGCAGGUAGGAUCUUCCCUGGUGGGCGAAUGAUAGGUGAAAUUAGUCAAGAGCCGAAAAUCAGGCCAGUUACUUUAC